GUUUUACCUUGACGAAUUGUAGUUUAAAGAAGUGUUUUCUGUUGAAGUUUUGGUAAAAGUUCUUUGGAAUAGGACAUCAUAGAGGGUGAGAAUCCCGUAUUUGACCAUUAUUUUCAGCUGUGUGAUACACUUUCAAAGAGUCGGAUUGUUUGGGAAUGCAGUCCAAAAUGGGUGGUAAAUUUCAUCUAAAGCUAAAUAUUGGCGAGAGACCGAUAGCGAACAAGUACCGUGAGGGAAAGAUGAAAAGAACUUUGAAAAGAGAGUUAAACAGUACGUGAAAUUGUCAAAAGGGAAGCGUUUGACACCAGUGUUGUUUUCUCGAAAAUCAAUUAAAAAGAGUUGGAUUUUGUGUUGUAUUGACCUUAACAGCUUUCUUCACUCUUUUCCUGCUUUUUUU
This 397-nucleotide ribosomal RNA is filed under the name uncultured Neocallimastigomycetes. RNAcentral's name for it is "eukaryotic LSU rRNA". It matches the Rfam family "Eukaryotic large subunit ribosomal RNA", at positions 127 to 521 of the family's 3401-position model. Lineage: Eukaryota; Fungi; Neocallimastigomycota; Neocallimastigomycetes. The record is from RNAcentral.